This 640-nucleotide long non-coding RNA is filed under the name Pelobates cultripes (western spadefoot toad). Lineage: Eukaryota; Metazoa; Chordata; Amphibia; Anura; Pelobatidae. The record is from RNAcentral.
GUCAGUAAUAAACUUUAUUUCUAUUCUUUUUAAAUCUACGUAUAGUGAAAAAAAAUAAAAAAAAGUCAAAAUUUUAAACUGGCUAAGAAAAGUCACAGUGUGGUAUCCAACAUGGAGAAAGUUCACCUGUGAAGAAAGACUGUAUGGCAGGCUUCCUCAAACUCUGGCCCUCCAGAUGUUGCUGAACUACAACUCCCAUGAUUCUAUGAAUGAAAUAGAUAAGCUGAGAAUCAUGGGAGUUGUAGUUCAGCAACAUCUGUAGGGCCGGAGUUUGGGGAAGCCUGCUGUAUGGCAUUAGGACCGCCAUCUCUCUUGGGGCGGUCCACGAUUCUCAAUCAGUGGAAGAUGAAGGUUAUGUCAUGUCUGCAGCAGGUGUUACGAAGCAGCCAAGUGGAAGUUUUCUGUAGAAGAAGGUAAUCUCUUCUGUUUCAGCAGGUCGAGGUUAAUGGUGGUGGGUUUGUCUCUGGCACUGGAACCAUCAGUAAAGGUGUGUAAAAUUGAGAGGAUCACCUUGUUCUUCCAACAAAUCUAAGAAAACACAGAACAUAAGAUAUAGGAUAGUGAUUAACACAUUAAUGAAACUGCAAACACUAAAACGAACUGUAAAAAAAAAAUAAAAAAAAAAUUACUUACUGUAAAU